GUUCUUCAAAUAAUUCUUUGCUGUAGUUCUUUCUGAAAACACCCGCGUUAGUGUUGUCCAAAGGAGACACUAGUUUUCUUUUCAGACUACGGCAUCCCUGCAUACACAGCACUUAACACACGGAUUAAACGCACUGGAGGGAGAGAGUGAUAGAAUCAAGAAAAAGAAAAAUAAACAAAGCAAAUAAACACAGAAAAUAAAGUGACAAUUAAAAUGCCUAAAAUCCUCCCCGGCAACGGCGCCAAAAUUUGACUCAACCUAAACACUAUGCUAGAUUGACUCGCAAUCGUACGAGGUCUAUUGUAGUGUGUAAGCUAACC
This 320-nucleotide long non-coding RNA is filed under the name Salvia miltiorrhiza (redroot sage). Its description in RNAcentral is "long non-coding RNA (SMIL_LNC008838)". Lineage: Eukaryota; Viridiplantae; Streptophyta; Magnoliopsida; Lamiales; Lamiaceae. The record is from RNAcentral.